GUGGAGGAGAAGCCGCCUGAAGCGCCACCGGUGACCAGUGUGGAGGAGAAAGCUGAGACCAUCCUGGAUCUCCCAGAGGAGCCUUCUGUCCCAACUGUAGAACCUGAACAGCCAUGCACUCAGCAGCUAGAACUGGCUGGAGCAGCCCCAGCUGGAGAUGCUGUUUUCUCAAUGGUUGAACAUCCCUCUCUCUCAGUUCCUGCUGGUCCACAUUCGGAGUCUUCCACAAACAUUAUAAAAUGAAAUCUGAGGAGCUGAUGACAGCUAUUAUGUCUCCUGUGAGGAUUAGAAGAGCCAUCAAGUUCAGGAGAACCAGAAGUCCCUCAGUCCCUGGAAAAUGACUACUUGACACAGGAGUUGUAUGGCUCUUUCUAACUGGGAAGCUGGAGCACAAUCCUUGUUCCUGUUCAGCAUGAAACACUGUUAGAUUGCAAGCUACCUGGUAUUUUUUGUGUGAGCGAGCAAUAAAAGCCUGUGGCCUUUGCUGUUAUCUCUCUCC
RNAcentral lists this long non-coding RNA (499 nucleotides) under Pogona vitticeps (central bearded dragon). RNAcentral describes it as "lncRNA (ENSPVIG00000017697.1)". Lineage: Eukaryota; Metazoa; Chordata; Lepidosauria; Squamata; Agamidae. The record is from RNAcentral.